AAAGAAAAGAUAGAAAAGACUAAGGCAUGAAGAUGACCAUCACAAAACUAGCCAUAUUAGGGUUUGUGUUGGUGGGCGUGUUGAUAAGUGAAGUAAGGGCCGACAAGUUUAGUGUUUGCUAUCACAAAUGUUUUAACAAAUGUGCUUACCCAAAAGCCAAUAAAAUGAACGUGACAUGCGGAAUCAAAUGUACUGCGCAAUGUGUCGUAUCGUUCCAUCCCAAACGCGGAGGCAACACCCUUUCACGUCCACAAUCCAAUUCCGAUUCUGAUUCUUAUGAAAUCGAUGAUGGCAAGAUGGAUCCUAGUGUUUAUUGUAAACUUGGUUGUACAGUCCAUUCUUGCGUUGAUUCUCUAGCCGAUGCAUUCAAAGUGGAGAGAUGCUACAAGAAUUGUGCCCGAAGGGUUUGUAAAACCUAGUGGAGACUUAAUUGCAAGACUGACAUCCUUUACUAUUCCUCCACGUUCCACAUUCAAAUCCACCACCACAUGAAGAUGAGAUGUAAUAGUUAAGUAAACAAUGAUUAGAAAAUUGUUAUGUGUGCGGUUUAUAACAAUCGUUAUACACAGAAUCACAAAUUAUUAAUUGGCUUUUUAACAUUUCUUUUGUAUUAAUCCUAUUUUUAAUUUUUUCAUUUAUUAUAACAUGUAUAUUUUUUUAUGUUCUAUG
Long non-coding RNA from Tarenaya hassleriana, 669 nucleotides. RefSeq lists it as uncharacterized. The record is from RefSeq and is a predicted model, not a curated record. The transcript has 3 exons. NCBI's taxonomy places the organism in Eukaryota, Viridiplantae, Streptophyta, Magnoliopsida, Brassicales, Cleomaceae.